Molecule: unclassified non-coding RNA, 200 nt
Filed under: soil metagenome
Description: partial contains internal transcribed spacer 2 and large subunit ribosomal RNA
Source: RNAcentral
AGCGUCAUUACAUCCUCAAGCCUCGCUUGGUAUUGGGCGCCCGCGGCCUCGCCGCGCGCCCUAAUGUCUCCGGCCGAGCCGUCCGUCUCUUAGGCGUCGUGGUUACUCAGUUCGCCUGGUGAGCGCGGGCGCGCUUGUCGCCGCUAACCCCUCCACUCAAGGUUGACCUCGGAUCAGGUAGGGAUACCCGCUGAACUUAA